RNAcentral lists this ribosomal RNA (1539 nucleotides) under Vibrio parahaemolyticus VP766. RNAcentral describes it as "bacterial SSU rRNA". It matches the Rfam family "Bacterial small subunit ribosomal RNA". Lineage: Bacteria; Pseudomonadati; Pseudomonadota; Gammaproteobacteria; Vibrionales; Vibrionaceae. The record is from RNAcentral.
AAAUUGAAGAGUUUGAUCAUGGCUCAGAUUGAACGCUGGCGGCAGGCCUAACACAUGCAAGUCGAGCGGAAACGAGUUAUCUGAACCUUCGGGGAACGACAACGGCGUCGAGCGGCGGACGGGUGAGUAAUGCCUAGGAAAUUGCCCUGAUGUGGGGGAUAACCAUUGGAAACGAUGGCUAAUACCGCAUGAUGCCUACGGGCCAAAGAGGGGGACCUUCGGGCCUCUCGCGUCAGGAUAUGCCUAGGUGGGAUUAGCUAGUUGGUGAGGUAAGGGCUCACCAAGGCGACGAUCCCUAGCUGGUCUGAGAGGAUGAUCAGCCACACUGGAACUGAGACACGGUCCAGACUCCUACGGGAGGCAGCAGUGGGGAAUAUUGCACAAUGGGCGCAAGCCUGAUGCAGCCAUGCCGCGUGUGUGAAGAAGGCCUUCGGGUUGUAAAGCACUUUCAGUCGUGAGGAAGGUAGUGUAGUUAAUAGCUGCAUUAUUUGACGUUAGCGACAGAAGAAGCACCGGCUAACUCCGUGCCAGCAGCCGCGGUAAUACGGAGGGUGCGAGCGUUAAUCGGAAUUACUGGGCGUAAAGCGCAUGCAGGUGGUUUGUUAAGUCAGAUGUGAAAGCCCGGGGCUCAACCUCGGAAUAGCAUUUGAAACUGGCAGACUAGAGUACUGUAGAGGGGGGUAGAAUUUCAGGUGUAGCGGUGAAAUGCGUAGAGAUCUGAAGGAAUACCGGUGGCGAAGGCGGCCCCCUGGACAGAUACUGACACUCAGAUGCGAAAGCGUGGGGAGCAAACAGGAUUAGAUACCCUGGUAGUCCACGCCGUAAACGAUGUCUACUUGGAGGUUGUGGCCUUGAGCCGUGGCUUUCGGAGCUAACGCGUUAAGUAGACCGCCUGGGGAGUACGGUCGCAAGAUUAAAACUCAAAUGAAUUGACGGGGGCCCGCACAAGCGGUGGAGCAUGUGGUUUAAUUCGAUGCAACGCGAAGAACCUUACCUACUCUUGACAUCCAGAGAACUUUCCAGAGAUGGAUUGGUGCCUUCGGGAACUCUGAGACAGGUGCUGCAUGGCUGUCGUCAGCUCGUGUUGUGAAAUGUUGGGUUAAGUCCCGCAACGAGCGCAACCCUUAUCCUUGUUUGCCAGCGAGUAAUGUCGGGAACUCCAGGGAGACUGCCGGUGAUAAACCGGAGGAAGGUGGGGACGACGUCAAGUCAUCAUGGCCCUUACGAGUAGGGCUACACACGUGCUACAAUGGCGCAUACAGAGGGCGGCCAACUUGCGAAAGUGAGCGAAUCCCAAAAAGUGCGUCGUAGUCCGGAUUGGAGUCUGCAACUCGACUCCAUGAAGUCGGAAUCGCUAGUAAUCGUGGAUCAGAAUGCCACGGUGAAUACGUUCCCGGGCCUUGUACACACCGCCCGUCACACCAUGGGAGUGGGCUGCAAAAGAAGUAGGUAGUUUAACCUUCGGGGGGACGCUUACCACUUUGUGGUUCAUGACUGGGGUGAAGUCGUAACAAGGUAGCGCUAGGGGAACCUGGCGCU